CCAAAGGCUCUUUUAAGAGCCACCCAGAUACCCACUAAAAGAGCUG
This is a regulatory RNA element of Homo sapiens (human), 46 nucleotides long. It matches the Rfam family "Histone 3' UTR stem-loop". From Rfam's summary of the family: The mRNAs of metazoan histone genes lack a poly-A tail. NCBI's taxonomy places the organism in Eukaryota, Metazoa, Chordata, Mammalia, Primates, Hominidae. The record is from Rfam.